UUUAAGAUUCUUAAGUUGAUUUGAGUUGUCGAUUAGCAUUCCGCUUUGUGUUUUGAGCCUUUGGAUAAGUUCAUACAGAAUAUUUGGGGUUGUUGGGAUGAUUUGAAAGGGUCCCCAACACUCGGGUGAGUUUCGGGGUGUUAAGGGAAGGUUUUUUAAAACAAAAACCAGCAAUAAAUUUGCAGCAGCACCCAUUUCAGCCAUUUUCUGUACUUUCAGCCACUUUUCCACACGUAAAUAACCUAA
Molecule: long non-coding RNA, 246 nt
Filed under: Nicotiana benthamiana
Lineage: Eukaryota; Viridiplantae; Streptophyta; Magnoliopsida; Solanales; Solanaceae
Description: long non-coding RNA (NBEN_LNC016421)
Source: RNAcentral